AGCAGCCGCGGUAAUUCCAGCUCCAAUAGCGUAUAUUAAAGUUGCUGCAGUUAAAAAGCUCGUAGUUGAAUUUCGGGACCAUCAUGUCGGUCGUGCCUCGGUACGUACUGGUAUUGUUGGUUUCUCCCUUCUGACGAACCAUGAUGUCAUUUAUUUGGUGUUGUGGGGAAUCAGGACUGUUACUUUGAAAAAAUUAGAGUGUUUAAAGCAGGCUCACGCUUGAAUACAUUAGCAUGGAAUAAUGAAAUAGGACGUUUGAUUCUAUUUUGUUGGUUUCUAGGAUCGACGUAAUGAUUAAUAGGGAUAGUUGGGGGCAUUAGUAUUCAAUUGUCAGAGGUGAAAUUCUUGGAUUUAUUGAAGACUAACUACUGCGAAAGCAUUUGCCAAGGAUGUUUUCAUUAAUCAAGAACGAAAGUUAGGGGAUCGAAGACGAUCAGAUACCGUCGUAGUCUUAACCAUAAACUAUGCCGACUAGGGAUCGGAUGAUGUUAAUUUUUAAUGA
Molecule: ribosomal RNA, 502 nt
Filed under: uncultured Glomus
Lineage: Eukaryota; Fungi; Glomeromycota; Glomeromycetes; Glomerales; Glomeraceae
Description: SSU rRNA
Rfam family: Eukaryotic small subunit ribosomal RNA
Source: RNAcentral